Molecule: RNA transcript, 2659 nt
Organism: Sapajus apella (tufted capuchin)
Lineage: Eukaryota; Metazoa; Chordata; Mammalia; Primates; Cebidae
Gene name: oxidative stress-induced growth inhibitor 1
Exons: 20
Source: RefSeq, a predicted model, not a curated record
CACAGCCUCUUCCCUCCCAGUGAAAUACCCUCACUUCCCCCCGGCCUCUCAGAGCCUCUUGGAUCCCUACGGGGUAAUGGGCAUUCCAGUCUCGAGGCCGACCCUGUGAUCCGUGAUCCCCUGGCCCUCCUAGUGCACAAGCUGGCUGGGCUCACUGAGCUGCUGCACCACUGCCUGUCAGGUGAGGAAACUGAAACCCAGAGAGGCCCAGGGAUGGGCCACGGUCAGCAGAUGGGAAGCCACUUGCCAGGGUCAGGUCUGCUGCCAGCCCCAAGCACCCCACCAGCCAUAGCCAUGAGCUCUUCCAGAAAGGACCACCUCGGCGCCAGCCGCUCAGAGCCCCUCCCGGUCAUCAUCGUGGGCAAUGGCCCCUCUGGCAUCUGCCUGUCCUACCUGCUCUCCGGCUACACACCCUACGUGAAGCCAGAUGCCGUCCACCCCCACCCCCUGCUGCAGAGGAAGCUCACUGAGGCCCCGGGGGUCUCCAUCCUGGACCAGGACCUGGACCACCUGUCCGAAGGCCUUGAGGGCCGAUGCCAAAGCCCCGUGGCUCUGCUCUUUGAUGCCCUCCUGCGCCCAGACACAGACUUUGGGGGAAACAUGGAGUCGGUCCUCACCUGGAAGCACCAGGCGGAGCAUGCCCUCCCCCACUUGGUUCUGGGCCGGAACCUCCCCGGGGGAGCCUGGCACUCCAUCGAAGGCUCCAUGGUGACCCUGAGCCAGGGCCAGUGGAUGGGGCUCCCGGACCUGGAGGUCAAGGACUGGCUGCAGAAGAAGCGAAGAGGCCUUCGAAACAGCCGGGCUACGGCCGGGGACAUCGCCCACUACUACAGGGACUACGUCGUCAAGAAGGGUCUGGGGCAUAACUUUGUGUCCGGUGCUGUGGUCACAGCCGUGGAGUGGAGGACCCCCGACCCCAGCCCUCUCUUCCAGAUUUUCCGCCGCGCGGACAAAAAUGAUGAUGGGAAGCUGUCCUUGGAGGAAUUCCAGCUCUUCUUUGCAGAUGGCGUCCUCAACGAGAAAGAGCUCGAAGAUCUCUUUCACACGAUUGAUUCUGACAACACCAACCACGUGGACACCAAGGAGCUAUGUGAUUAUUUUGUGGACCACAUGGGUGACUAUGAGGACGUCCUGGCCUCCCUGGAGACCUUGAAUCACUCUGUCCUGAAGGCCAUGGGCUACACCAAGAAGGUAUAUGAGGGUGGCAACAAUGUGGACCAGUUUGUGACCCGCUUCCUCCUGAAGGAGACGGCCAGUCAGAUCCAGUCGCUGCUCAGCUCCGUGGAGAGUGCGGUGGAAGCCAUCGAGGAACAGACCAGCCAGAUCCGACAGAACCACAGCAAACCCAGCCACAGUGUGGCGCAGACCUGGUGUGGAAGCCCCACUCCCCGCUCUGCCCCCAACCACAAGCUCAUGGCCACGGAACAAGGCAGGAGUCUUCCAUCUGCUGCUGAGGAUACAAAGGAAGAGGGCCUAGAAACCCAGAUCAGCCGCUUGGCAGAGCUGAUUGGGAGGCUGGAGAGCAAGGCACUGUGGUUCGACCUGCAGCAGCGCCUCUCGGACGAAGACGGCACCAACAUGCUGGUCCGGCAGGAGAUGGCCGUGUGCCCUGAGCAGCUGAGCGAGUUCGUGGAUUCCCUGCGCCAGUAUCUGCGGGGCACCGCGGGAGAGAGGAGCUGCUUCCACAUCGCUGCCGUGAGGCUCUCAGACGGCUUCACCUUUGUUGUCUAUGAGUUCUGGGAGACAGAGGAAGAGUGGAAGAGGCACCUGCAGAGCCCCGUGUGCAAGGCGUUCCGGCACGUCAAGGUGGACAUGCUGAGCCAGCCCGAGGCCCUCUCCAGGAUCUCAGUGCCAGGUGUGGAGACAGAGGGCAAGUGACUCACCAGAGGUCACACAGCAAAUAAGCGGCUCAAGUCAGAUCCAAACCCAUAGUCCCGUGCCCAACUGCCCCUACCACAUAGCAUCAACCCACAAGGAAGGAUGGCUUCGGAUUAACCCGACAGUCAUGUGAGGAUCACAUCUACCUGUCACAGAAUGGAGAUGGAAGCCUUUGUCCCGAGUGGUGAUAUUCAGUCACCCCUUAAAGAGCCCCGCCAUCACCUCUUAGCAUUUAGUGCCAGUCCACUUGCCUCCUGAGCUGCUUUCCUGCUUUGGGACAAGUCCUCACGUCCUCAUACUUCCCUUUUCCCCUUGGCAAUCACAACCUGGGUCUUCCAGGAUAAAGCUACCGUUGCUUGGGUCUCCAUUGUGUGUGAGGUAUCCCAUCACCUACUCCUGACACAUCGCCUUCAUUCCUCACAAGUGCCCCACUUCGUACAGAGUAAGCCUGCUCCAUUUUGCUGGUAGGGCAACCGAUUCUGCAAAAAGGUUCACACACUACCGAAGACUUCGAGAUAGCAAACGGCAGAGCCAGUGUUCAAAUCCAACAGUCCAACUCCAAAGCCGCUUCACACACAGCCUUCUUUGAUGGCAUGACUCUCGCCCUGCCACAUGGUCAUAUUCCAGGACUCUCCACGAAUGGUCCUAGCACAGCCCCAGCCUUCCCGGCCCAGGGCCACAGACCCUUUCAGGAAGCAGACAGGUAUAAGUAAUAAACCAAUGACUUCAGCCUCACCUCUCACUCCAGGGUGAUAAGUUCUCCAUCACAGCAAUCUAGGCU